CCUACGGGUGGCUUCAGUGGGGAAUAUUGGGCAAUGGGCGCAAGCCUGACCCAGCAACGCCGCGUGAGGGAAGAAGGCUUUCGGGUUGUAAACUUCUUUUCUCAGGGACGAAGAAAGUGACGGUACCUGAGGACUAAGCCACGGCUAACUCCGUGCCAGCAGCCGCGGUACUCCGUAGGUGGCAAGCGUUAUCCGGAUUUAUUGGGUGUAAAGGGCGUGUAGGCGGGAGCGCAAGUCAGCUGUGAAGACCCAGGGCUCAACCCGGAGCCUGCAUUUGAAACUGUGUUUCUGGAGUGCGGGAGAGGCAAUCGGAAUUCCGGGUGUAGCGGUGAAAUGCGUAGAUAUACGGAGGAACACCAGUGGCGAAGGCGGAUUGCUGGACAGUAACUGACGCUGAGGCGCGAAAGCGUGGGGAGCAAACAGGAUUAGAUACCCGGGUAGUC
This 443-nucleotide ribosomal RNA is filed under the name uncultured bacterium. Its description in RNAcentral is "partial 16S ribosomal RNA". It matches the Rfam family "Bacterial small subunit ribosomal RNA", at positions 338 to 795 of the family's 1533-position model. The record is from RNAcentral.